RNAcentral lists this ribosomal RNA (253 nucleotides) under uncultured bacterium. Its description in RNAcentral is "partial 16S ribosomal RNA". It matches the Rfam family "Bacterial small subunit ribosomal RNA", at positions 524 to 776 of the family's 1533-position model. The record is from RNAcentral.
UACGUAGGGGGCAAGCGUUAUCCGGAUUUACUGGGUGUAAAGGGAGCGUAGACGGUAUGGUAAGUCAGAUGUGAAAGCCCAGGGCUCAACCCUGGGACUGCAUUUGAAACUAUCAAACUAGAGUGCAGGAGAGGUAAGUGGAAUUCCUAGUGUAGCGGUGAAAUGCGUAGAUAUUAGGAGGAACACCAGUGGCGAAGGCGGCUUACUGGACUGUAACUGACGUUGAGGCUCGAAAGCGUGGGGAGCAAACAGG